Molecule: ribosomal RNA, 521 nt
Filed under: uncultured bacterium
Lineage: Bacteria
Description: bacterial SSU rRNA
Rfam family: Archaeal small subunit ribosomal RNA
Source: RNAcentral
AACCUCCGCAAUGUACGAAAGUGCGACGGGGGGAUCCCAAGUGUUAUGCUUUUUUGUAUAACUUUUCAUUAGUGUAAAAAGCUUUUAGAAUAAGAGCUGGGCAAGACCGGUGCCAGCCGCCGCGGUAACACCGGCAGCUCGAGUGGUAGCUGUUUUUAUUGGGCCUAAAGCGUUCGUAGCCGGUUUGAUAAGUCUUUGGUGAAAGCUUGUAGCUUAACUAUAAGAAUUGCUGGAGAUACUAUCAGACUUGAAGUCGGGAGAGGUUAGAGGUACUACCGGGGUAGGGGUGAAAUCCUAUAAUCCUGGGAGGACCACCUGUGGCGAAGGCGUCUAACUGGAACGAUCUUGACGGUGAGUAACGAAAGCCAGGGGCGCGAACCGGAUUAGAUACCCGGGUAGUCCUGGCCGUAAACGAUGUGGACUUGGUGUUGGAAUGGCUUUGAGUUGUUCCGGUGCCGAAGGGAAGCUGUUAAGUCCACCGCCUGGGAAGUACGGUCGCAAGACUGAAACUUAAAGGAAGU